Molecule: ribosomal RNA, 295 nt
Filed under: uncultured bacterium
Lineage: Bacteria
Description: partial 16S ribosomal RNA
Rfam family: Bacterial small subunit ribosomal RNA
Source: RNAcentral
GCUUCCCUACGGGCGCAGCAGUGGGGGAUAUUGGACAAUGGGGGAAACCCUGAUCCAGCGAUGCCGCGUGAGGGAAGAAGGUUUUCGGAUUGUAAACCUCUGUGGAGGGGGACGAUAAUGACGGUACCCCUUUAGGAAGCCACGGCUAACUACGUGCCAGCAGCCGCGGUAAUACGUAGGUGGCGAGCGUUGUCCGGAAUUACUGGGUGUAAAGGGAGUGUAGGCGGGAAAGCAAGUCAGAAGUGAAAACUAUGGGCUUAACCCAUAGCCUGCUUUUGAAACUUUUUUUCUUGAG